RNAcentral lists this ribosomal RNA (465 nucleotides) under Vreelandella stevensii. Its description in RNAcentral is "partial 16S ribosomal RNA". It matches the Rfam family "Bacterial small subunit ribosomal RNA", at positions 338 to 795 of the family's 1533-position model. Lineage: Bacteria; Pseudomonadati; Pseudomonadota; Gammaproteobacteria; Oceanospirillales; Halomonadaceae. The record is from RNAcentral.
CCUACGGGCGGCAGCAGUGGGGAAUAUUGGACAAUGGGCGAAAGCCUGAUCCAGCCAUGCCGCGUGUGUGAAGAAGGCCUUCGGGUUGUAAAGCACUUUCAGUGGGGAAGAAAGCCUUGGGGCUAAUACCCUCGAGGAGGGACAUCACCCACAGAAGAAGCACCGGCUAACUCCGUGCCAGCAGCCGCGGUAAUACGGAGGGUGCGAGCGUUAAUCGGAAUUACUGGGCGUAAAGCGCGCGUAGGCGGUCUGAUAAGCCGGUUGUGAAAGCCCCGGGCUCAACCUGGGAACGGCAUCCGGAACUGUCAGGCUAGAGUGCAGGAGAGGAAGGUAGAAUUCCCGGUGUAGCGGUGAAAUGCGUAGAGAUCGGGAGGAAUACCAGUGGCGAAGGCGGCCUUCUGGACUGACACUGACGCUGAGGUGCGAAAGCGUGGGUAGCAAACAGGAUUAGAUACCCCAGUAGUC